This is a long non-coding RNA of Lagopus leucura (white-tailed ptarmigan), 1457 nucleotides long. RefSeq lists it as uncharacterized. Lineage: Eukaryota; Metazoa; Chordata; Aves; Galliformes; Phasianidae. The transcript is spliced from 6 exons. The record is from RefSeq and is a predicted model, not a curated record.
GCCCCUCAGCAGGCAGCGCUCCGUGACCUUCCCUGUCAUUGCGGCAUUAAGUGCUGGUGAACGGAGAGUACCGGUGUAUGGGAAAACAGCAGAGGCUUGCGAGAAGUGCAUUCUAUCAGGACCAGGUGUGUUCAGCAAGCAAACGUGUUCAAGUAGAAGCUGCACUGCACCUUGUAAACUGCAAAGUGGCUUAUGGUAACUGGAACUUGUAGAUUCAGUAUUCUGUAUACAAAUGAAAAAUCUUGGAUAAUUAAGACUGAAGUCACUGAGAAUUUCAGUAUGCUGACUUUAAAGGUUCUAAGGAAACUCAGCACUUGAAACUGAAUGCAAGACUCCACUGUUAUCCAGUGCACUCACUGAUAGCAGCCCCAGAAGAGAUUCGUGAGAAUGCCUAGAAAACCUGACCUUCCUCUCCUGACAGCACAUCAUACCAUGAACAGUUGAUUGAAUGAAAAAGCUCAGAGGUUACAGACUGAAGAAAUUUAGGUCGUUACUUCUCCAUCUACUGGACCAGAGCCAUCCUUCAAAGGCCAACUUGGCAAGAAGUCACAGUAAAUGCUUGACAACAAUUACCUCUAGACUCGUGAGAUUCAAAUUAGCAAUUCUGUAUCUGAGUAUGGUGUGAUUAAACUCUAGAAUUUAGUUCAGAAUGUGUCCUAUUUUCAGACAUUGCAUUUUUUAACCACUCUCUUUGGAACGUCAGAUGGACAUGGACUCAGACACCUCGUGCCUUUUGAAAACGAGCGCAGUGGAGUCCUUCUUUUGUUAGCCAGCACCAGGCACAGAGUCUGUUCUCGGGAAGAAUAGAAGCCAGAGAAAUGAGAACAUUUCAGGACACUGGUAAGGGACCUGUGCCAUUCUGGAAGGUAAGGAGAAGCCACACAGCCCCACUGUGCAAAAGCAGUCCACUCUUCAGCGUGGAGCUUCUUUCUCUGGGAACCAAGUUGUAGCAUAUUGUUUUGGCUUUGAAUGUUGAAUUUCAGGCAUACUCCACAGUUUGGAGUCCAAGUCAGCAUUAACAUUAGACACAAGCCACAGAGAAACUUCCUGUCAUUCAAGAGCCAUUGUCCUGCUUUCUCACAGAUACUGAGCUCCAAAAGAUGCCCUCUGAUAACUGCAAAUAUGAACUUUUCCCAGUUCUAGGGUGUUUAACUCUUAGAUUUUCAGUUAUUGCUUAUAAAUGCUGCUUCUUCUGAGAAUGGACAAACAUUUAUGGCUUCACUGCAUAAGCCCUCCAAAAAUAACUUGAAAGUCAGUAGUUAAAACCCAUCAGUGUAUCAUGUUUAUUUUGCAGAUCUGUUACCAACUCCUAGUAUAGAAACUUUGCCAAAAAUGAAACUUCUAAGAAUUUUUUCACUAUUGACUCCUGCUCUUAAAGGCUCUCCAAAUUCCUCUUACAGCUCCACUGCUGGGAAAAGGAGGGAAAAAAAAAACAACUGCUGCUUUUUUUUUUAAUU